UAGUUUGGAUUUUAAAGUAGAGAUAGAUGGGAAGGUAAUUAUUUCAAGCCUGUCAAAGUCAUUUGGAACAGUGACCCAAGUACAUCAGUUCCAGGAAAGCAUGUGAUGACUGGCAAGUUCGGCAGCAAAAAAUCAGAAUGGUGUGUUGCUUCCCUGGUGCCAGGAUCAAGGAUAUCUGGGAGAGGGACUAGCAGGAGAUGUGUCAGAUUCCCAAAACAUUGCUUGAAUACAGUUAAGGUGCCAGCCUCCGUAACCUGCACGGUACAGAAUUCCAUGGAUUCACUACCAUCAGAAGAAAUUCCUCCUCAUCUCUGUAUUAAAAUGGCCAACCCAUUACUGAGAACAUGCUUUCUUGUCCUAAAUUCUCCCAGAAGGAGAAAAAAUCUUUCUGCAUCAACCCUGUCAAGUUCCCUAAAAAUCUUGUACAUUUCUAGAAGAUUGCCUCUCAUUUUUUUAAACUCCAAUGACCACAGGCACUGCCUACUCGAUCUCUCCUUA
Molecule: long non-coding RNA, 498 nt
Organism: Chiloscyllium plagiosum (whitespotted bambooshark)
Lineage: Eukaryota; Metazoa; Chordata; Chondrichthyes; Orectolobiformes; Hemiscylliidae
Source: RefSeq, a predicted model, not a curated record